GGUUCCAUAGUCUAGUGGUCAUCAUGUCUGCUUUACAUGCAGAAAAUCCUGGGUUCGACCACCAGAGGAACCG
Molecule: non-coding RNA, 73 nt
Organism: Ameiurus melas (black bullhead)
Lineage: Eukaryota; Metazoa; Chordata; Actinopteri; Siluriformes; Ictaluridae
Source: the annotation of a GenBank genome assembly